UUGACCUCGGAUCAGGUAGGAAUACCCGCUGAACUUAAGCAUAUCAAUAAGCGGAGGAAAUCGAAUUCCCGCGGCCGCCAUGGCGGCCGGGAGCAUGCGACGUCGGGCCCAAUUUC
This 116-nucleotide ribosomal RNA is filed under the name uncultured Ascomycota. RNAcentral describes it as "partial 28S ribosomal RNA". Lineage: Eukaryota; Fungi; Ascomycota. The record is from RNAcentral.